GCUUCCCUCUUUCUUCGUGCCUAAUACAUGCAAGUCGAGCGAACGGACGAGAAGCUUGCUUCUCUGAUGUUAGCGGCGGACGGGUGAGUCACCCGUGGAUAACCUACCUAUAAGACUGGGCUACCUUCGGGAAACCGUAGCUAAUACCGGAUAAUAUUUUGAACCGCAUGGUUCCAAAGUGAAAGACGGUCUUGCUGUCACUUAUAGCUGGCUCCGCGCUGCAUUAGCUAGUUGGUAAGGUAACGGCUUACCAAGGCAAGGAUGCAUAGCCGACCUGAGAGGGAGAUCGGCCACACUGGAACUGAGACAGGGUACACACUCCUACGGUAGGCAGCAGUAGGGAAUCUUCCGCAAUGGGCGAAAGCCUGACGGAGCAACGCCGCGUGAGUGAUGAAGGUCUUCUGAUCGUAAAACUCUGUUAUUAGGGAAGAACAUAUGUGUAAGUAACUGUGCACAUCUUGACGGUACCUAAUCAGAAAGCCACGGCUAACUACGUG
This 497-nucleotide ribosomal RNA is filed under the name uncultured bacterium. Its description in RNAcentral is "partial 16S ribosomal RNA". It matches the Rfam family "Bacterial small subunit ribosomal RNA", at positions 36 to 507 of the family's 1533-position model. The record is from RNAcentral.